This 614-nucleotide ribosomal RNA is filed under the name uncultured bacterium. RNAcentral describes it as "bacterial SSU rRNA". It matches the Rfam family "Bacterial small subunit ribosomal RNA", at positions 106 to 705 of the family's 1533-position model. The record is from RNAcentral.
GUGAGUAACACGUGGGUAACCUGCCCAUAAGACUGGGAUAACUCCGGGAAACCGGGGCUAAUACCGGAUAACAUUUUGAACUGCAUGGUUCGAAAUUGAAAGGCGGCUUCGGCUGUCACUUAUGGAUGGACCCGCGUCGCAUUAGCUAGUUGGUGAGGUAACGGCUCACCAAGGCAACGAUGCGUAGCCGACCUGAGAGGGUGAUCGGCCACACUGGGACUGAGACACGGCCCAGACUCCUACGGGAGGCAGCAGUAGGGAAUCUUCCGCAAUGGACGAAAGUCUGACGGAGCAACGCCGCGUGAGUGAUGAAGGCUUUCGGGUCGUAAAACUCUGUUGUUAGGGAAGAACAAGUGCUAGUUGAAUAAGCUGGCACCUUGACGGUACCUAACCAGAAAGCCACGGCUAACUACGUGCCAGCAGCCGCGGUAAUACGUAGGUGGCAAGCGUUAUCCGGAAUUAUUGGGCGUAAAGCGCGCGCAGGUGGUUUCUUAAGUCUGAUGUGAAAGCCCACGGCUCAACCGUGGAGGGUCAUUGGAAACUGGGAGACUUGAGUGCAGAAGAGGAAAGUGGAAUUCCAUGUGUAGCGGUGAAAUGCGUAGAGAUAUGGAGGA